Non-coding RNA from Caenorhabditis elegans, 75 nucleotides. Lineage: Eukaryota; Metazoa; Nematoda; Chromadorea; Rhabditida; Rhabditidae. The record is from Ensembl.
AUGCUUAGGCUUAGGCUUAGGCUUAGGCUCAGGCCUAGGUUUAAGCUUAGGCUUCGGCUUAGGAUUAGGCCUAGG